GACGAACCGUGCGAACGUUAUUCGGAAUCACUGGGCUUAAAGGGAGCGUAGGCGGGCUAUCAAGUCUGGGGUGAAAUCCCGCGGCUCAACCGUGGAACUGCCUCAGAUACUGACGGCCUCGAGGGAGAUAGGGGCAUGCGGAACUGUAGGUGGAGCGGUGAAAUGCGUUGAUAUCUACAGGAACUCCGGUGGCGAAAGCGGCGUGCUGGAUCUCUUCUGACGCUGAGGCUCGAAAGCUAGGGGAGCAAACGGGAUUAGAAACCCCCGUAGUCC
Molecule: ribosomal RNA, 273 nt
Filed under: uncultured bacterium
Lineage: Bacteria
Description: partial 16S ribosomal RNA
Rfam family: Bacterial small subunit ribosomal RNA
Source: RNAcentral